RNAcentral lists this ribosomal RNA (489 nucleotides) under Staphylococcus aureus. Its description in RNAcentral is "bacterial SSU rRNA". It matches the Rfam family "Bacterial small subunit ribosomal RNA", at positions 1 to 472 of the family's 1533-position model. The record is from RNAcentral. Lineage: Bacteria; Bacillati; Bacillota; Bacilli; Caryophanales; Staphylococcaceae.
UUUAUGGAGAGUUUGAUCCUGGCUCAGGAUGAACGCUGGCGGCGUGCCUAAUACAUGCAAGUCGAGCGAACGGAUGAGAAGCUUGCUUCUCUGAUGUUAGCGGCGGACGGGUGAGUAACACGUGGAUAACCUACCUAUAAGACUGGGAUAACUUCGGGAAACCGGAGCUAAUACCGGAUAAUAUUUUGAGCCGCAUGGUUCAAAAGUGAAAGACGGUCUUGCUGUCACUUAUAGAUGGAUCCGCACUGCAUUAGCUAGUUGGUAAGGUAACGGCUUACCAAGGCAACGAUGCAUAGCCGACCUGAGAGGGUGAUCGGCCACACUGGAACUGAGACACGGUCCAGACUCCUACGGGAGGCAGCAGUAGGGAAUCUUCCGCAAUGGGCGAAAGCCUGACGGAGCAACGCCGCGUGAGUGAUGAAGGUCUUCGGAUCGUAAAACUCUGUUAUUAGGGAAGAACAUAUGUGUAAGUAACUGUGCACAUCUUGA